Molecule: small RNA, 537 nt
Filed under: Histoplasma capsulatum
Lineage: Eukaryota; Fungi; Ascomycota; Eurotiomycetes; Onygenales; Ajellomycetaceae
Also listed under: 1 other name
Description: hypothetical RNA
Source: RNAcentral
UUGCUGCAUAUCUGUAUGAUAUAUGGUGAAGAGGAGUGAGGGGAAAGCGUUCUGAUGGGGAGAUCUUGGCCCCUUUACUUCAAGCCUGCCAUACAAGUGGGGUUAUUGAAGGUCGAGAGGUGAGUGUAUUCUCCCAGUUAUCGACAGGACUCAUUCCUUGCCGCUUAUAUUCAGUGCCGGGCCGUAUAUAUUGGCAAUCCCCAACACAAUCAUGGUGCCUUUUUGUGGCAAAAAAGUAGAUGGCCUAGUACUCUGUUCAUGCCCGAGAGGCCAGCACAUCUACAUGACAGGAUAGAGGAGAUGAUCUCAUUCUUGACCUUAUUGCCUGUUGAGGAACAAUAGCUCGUACCCAGUACUAGUCCUCGUAGAUAAAUCCUUCGGCCGGCGGAGCUGUCGAAAUAAAACAGUCUUAGGGAUAAGUCCCAAGGGCUGAAUCUAUUCACUUGCUGUUCGUUCUCAUUGUUCCAGAGCGUAACAAGUGCUCAACUAGAUACUCUCAAUGAACGGAAAUUACCUAUUUAGGAAAAUCAAUGGGGC